AUUGGGGAGCGGAAAUGAGGCCAAAAUGAGGGGGAAUUGGGGGAAAAUUGGGGGGUUGGGGAGCAGAAAUGAGGCCAAAAUGAGGGGGAAUGAGCCCAAAAUGAUGUCCAAACCCCAAAAGGAUGGAAUAGGACCCCCAAAUUGAGGUCCGACCUCCAAAAGGAGGGCACAGGACCCCCAAAAUGAGGUCCAGGUCUACCAAUCUCCCAAAAAGAGGGGACAGGACCCCCAAAAUGAGGUCCAGGACACACAAAACCCCCAAAAGGAGGGCACAGGACCCCCCAAAUUGAGGUCCGACCCCUAGAUGGAGGACACAGGACCCCCACCAUGAACUCCAGGAGGUACAAAGCCCCCAAAAGGAGGGCACAGGACCCCAAAAUUGAGGUCCAGGACCCCCAAAAACCCCAAAAGGAGGGCACAGGACCCCCAAAUAGAGGUCUGACCCCAAAAAGGAGGACACAGGACCCCGAAAAUGAGGUCCAGGUCUACCAAUCCCCCGAAAGGAGGGCACAGGACCCCCGAAAUGAGGCCCAGGUCCCCCCCCAGCCCCCCAGCAGGGUCUCACCGUAGCCCUGGCCGCGGUUGCGGUUCUGGCGGUUGCGUUUGUUGCGGUUGUUGCGGCGGUUGGCUCGUUUUUCGGAGGGUGGAAGGAGUUUCCUGGCCUCCUCUUUGUAUUUGGUGACCAAGGGCUGGGCUUCUUCCUUG
This 705-nucleotide long non-coding RNA is filed under the name Phasianus colchicus (ring-necked pheasant). Its description in RNAcentral is "lncRNA (ENSPCLG00000017614.1)". The record is from RNAcentral. Lineage: Eukaryota; Metazoa; Chordata; Aves; Galliformes; Phasianidae.